CCGCCUCUAGCUCAAUUGGUAGAGCAGUGGCCUUUUAAGCCAUUUGUUCUGGGUUCAAGUCCCAGGGGGCGGA
Molecule: transfer RNA, 73 nt
Filed under: hydrothermal vent metagenome
Description: tRNA-Lys-TTT
Rfam family: tRNA
About the family: Transfer RNA (tRNA) molecules are approximately 80 nucleotides in length. Their secondary structure includes four short double-helical elements and three loops (D, anti-codon, and T loops).
Source: RNAcentral